RNAcentral lists this ribosomal RNA (449 nucleotides) under uncultured bacterium. RNAcentral's name for it is "partial 16S ribosomal RNA". It matches the Rfam family "Bacterial small subunit ribosomal RNA", at positions 29 to 523 of the family's 1533-position model. The record is from RNAcentral.
AAUGAACGCUGGCGGCAGGCCUAACACAUGCAAGUCGAACGGAUCCUUCGGGAUUAGUGGCGGACGGGUGAGUAACGCGUGGAAACAUACCCUUUGGUACGGAAUAGCCUCGGGAAACUGGGAGUAAUACCGUAUGUGGUCGAGAGACGAAAGAUUUAUCGCCAAAGGAUUGGCCCGCGUUGGAUUAGGUAGUUGGUGGGGUAAUGGCUUACCAAGCCGACGAUCCAUAGCUGGUUUGAGAGGAUGAUCAGCCACACUGGGACUGAGACACGGCCCAGACUCCUACGGGAGGCAGCAGUGGGGAAUCUUAGACAAUGGGGGAAACCCUGAUCUAGCCAUGCCGCGUGAUCGAUGAAGGCCUUAGGGUUGUAAAGAUCUUUCAGGUGGGAAGAUAAUGACUGUACCACCAGAAGAAGCCCCGGCUAACUCCGUGCCAGCCGCCGCGGUAA